GGGGUUGACAUGGAUUUGACAGCAAGCCGAGGUGGUAGGUAAGCAUGCAGAGCGUUGUUGGGUGGCUCUUUAAUCCCAUCUUUCGUAAAUUUUAUCUGGCAACUAUUCUUAUGCUCUCGCAGCUUGAUCGAAGUAUAGUAGAUCGCUUUAUUCCUUAGUUAGACUAGGGAACGAGACAUCGCCCUGAAAGCCCCCUUCCUGAGGCGUUUAGACAAGCGGUGCGGUAAAUUCGGGAAUAGUUUGAGGUGGCCUCGCACCUCUUACGAAACUUUAGAGGAUAAGGGUGUGAUUGGAUGGUUCAGGUCAGGUCACAUCACGAAAAACAAAACUGAACUAAGCAUGUAGAAAGCUUAUGGUCUCCUUGUUUGGACGAGGGUUCGAUUCCCUCCAGCUCCACAA
RNAcentral lists this transfer-messenger RNA (399 nucleotides) under Bacteroidaceae. RNAcentral's name for it is "UBA1786 sp017615245 Standard tmRNA". It matches the Rfam family "transfer-messenger RNA". Rfam says of the family: Bacterial tmRNA, also known as 10Sa RNA or SsrA, is named for its dual tRNA and mRNA-like properties. RNAcentral also lists the same sequence under 1 other name. The record is from RNAcentral. Lineage: Bacteria; Pseudomonadati; Bacteroidota; Bacteroidia; Bacteroidales.